This 3453-nucleotide long non-coding RNA is filed under the name Salmo salar (Atlantic salmon). RNAcentral's name for it is "lncRNA (ENSSSAG00000115226.1)". Lineage: Eukaryota; Metazoa; Chordata; Actinopteri; Salmoniformes; Salmonidae. The record is from RNAcentral.
UCUCGGUCCCAGCUUUGAUGCCCCUGCACUGACCUCUCCUUCUGGAUGAUAGCGGGGUGAACAGGCAGUGACUCGGGUGGUUGAUGUCCUUGAUGAUCUUUUUGGCCUUCCUGUGACAUCGGGUGCUGUAGGUAUCCUGGAGGGCGGGUAGUUUGCCCCCGGUAAUGCGUUGGGCAGCCCUCUGGAGAGCCUUGCGGUUACGGGCGGUGCAGUUGCCAUACCUGGCGGUGAUAUGGCCCGACAGGAUGCUUUCAAUUGUGCAUCUGUACUACUAAGCUGUUCAGAGUGAGAUAAACAGGAUAACAGUCAGAAAUAUAGUAACUACUAAGUUGUUCAGAGUGAGAUGAACAGCACAGUCAGAACUAUAUCAAAUGAAAUUCAAAUCAAAUGUAUUUAUAUAGCCCUUCUUACAUCAGCUGAUAUCUCAAAGUGCUGUACAGAAACCCAGCCUAAAACCCCAAACAGCAAGCAAUUGUCAUGUCCUGACCAGUAGAGGGUGUAUUUGGGUCAGGACGUGGCAGAAGAGAAGUGUGUAGGUUGGUUUGUUUCGUUUAUUUUGGCCGUGUGGCUUCCAAUCAGGCACAGCUGUAGAGGGUUGUUGCUGAUUGGGAGUCACACAUAAGUAGUCUACUUUUCCUUUGGGGUUUGUGGGUAAUUGUUUCUGUUAGUGUUUGCACCUGACAGGACUGUUGUCUGUCGGUUUUCUCUUUUCUUGUUUUUUUAUAGUGUUCAAGUUGUUCAAUUAAAUAUGAAAUGAUGAACACUAACUCCGCUGCACCUUGGUCCACUCUCUCUUCAAACAGCCCUUACAGCAAUGCAGGUGUAGAAGCACGGUGGCUAGGAAAAACUCCCUAGAAAGGCCAAAACCUAGGAAGAAACCUAGAGAGGAACCAGGCUAUGAGGGGUGGCCAGUCCUCUUCUGGCUGUGCCGGGUGGAGAUUAUAACAGCACAUGGCCUAGAUGUUCAAAUGUUCAUAAAUGACCAGCAUGGUCAAAUAAUAAUAAUCAUAGUAGUUGUCGAGGGUGCAACAAGUCAGUAACACAAGAGUAAGUGUCAGUUGGCUUUUUCAUAGCCGAUCUUUGAGAGUAUCUCUACCGCUCCUGCUGUCUCUAGAGAGUUGAAAACAGCAGGUCUGGGACAGGUAGCACGUCCGGUGAAUAGGUCAGGGUUCCAGUAAGGUCUGGGACAGCAGGUCUGGGACAGGUAGCACGUCCAGUGAACAGGUUAGGGUUCCAUAGCUGCAGGCAGAACAGUUGGAACUGGAGCAGCAGCACGGCCAGGUGAACUGGGAACAGCAAGGAGUCAUCAAGCCAGGUAGUCCUGAGGCAUGGUCCUAGGGCUCAGGUCCUCCGAGAGAGAGAAAGAAAGAAAGAGAGAAAGAGAGAAUUAGAGAGAGCAUAUUUAAAUUCACACAGGACACCGGAAAAGACAAGAAAAAUACUCCAGAUGUGACAGACUGACCCUAGCCCCCCGACACAUAAACUACUGCAGCAUAAAUACUGGAGGCUGAGACAGGAGGGGUCAGGAGACACUGUGGCCCCAUCCGAUGAAACCCUCGGACAGGGCCAAACAUGUAGGAUAAAACCCCACCCACUUUGCCAAAGCACAGCCUCCAGACCACUGGAGGGAUAUCUCCAACCACCAACAUACCAUCCCGGGACAAGGCCGAGUAUAGCCCACAAAGAUAUCCGCCACGGCACAGCCCAAGGGGGGGCGCCAACCCAGACAGUAAGACCACGUCAGUGACUCAACCCACUCAAGUGACGCACCCCUCCCAGGGACGGCAUGGAAGAACACCAGUAAGCCAGUGACUCAGCCCCCGUAAUAGGGGUAGAGGCAGAUAAUCCCAGUGGAAAGAGGGGAAACCGGCCAGGCAGAGACAGCAAGGGCGGUUCGUUGCUCCAGCCUUUCCGUUCACCUUCACACCCCUGGGCCAGACUACACUUAAUCAUAGGACCUACUGAAGAGAUGUGUCUUCAGUAAAGACUUAAAGGUUGAGACUGAGUCUGCGUCUCUCACAUGGGUAGGCAGACUAUUCCAUAAAAAUUGAGCUCUAUAGGAGAAAGCCCUGCCUCCAGCUGUUUGCUUAGAAAUUCUAGGAACAAUUAGGAGGCCCGCGUCUUGUGACCGUAGCGUAUGUGUAGGUAUGUACGGCAGGACCAAAUAGGAAAGAUAGGUAGGAGCAAGCCCAUGUAAUGCUUUGUAGGUUAGCAGUAAAACCUUGAAAUCAGCCCUUGCCUUAACAGGAAGCCAGUGUAGGGAGGCUAGCACUGGAGUAAUAUGAUCAAAUUCUUUGGUUCUAGUCAGGAUUCUAGCAGCCGUAUUUAGCACUAACUGAUGUUUAUUUAGUGCUUUAUCCGGGUAGCCGGAAAGUAGAGCAUUGCAGUAGUCCAACCUAGAAGUAACAAAGGCAUGGAUACAUUUUUCUGCGUCAUUUUUGGACAGAAAGUUUCUGAUUUUUGCAAUGUUACGUAGAUGGAAAAAAGCUGUCCUUGAAACAGUCUUGAUAUGUUCUUCAAAAGAGAGAUCAAGGUCCAGAGUAACGCCGAGGUCCUUCGCAGUUUUAUUUGAGAUGACUGUACAACCAUCCAGAUUAAUUGUCAGAUUCAACAGAAGAUCUCUUUGUUUCUUGGGACCUAGAACAAGCAUCUCUGUUUUGUCCGAGUUUAAAAGUAGAGAGUUUGCAGCCAUUCACUUCCUUAUGUCUGAGACACAGGCUUCUAGCGAGGGCAAUUUUGGGGCUUCACCAUGUUUCAUUGAAAUGUACAGCUGUGUGUCAUCCGCAUAGCAGUGAAAUUUAACAUUAUGUUUUCGAAUGACAUCCCCAAGAGGUAAAAUAUAUAGUGAAAACAAUAGUGGUCCUAAAACGGAACCUUGAGGAACACCGAAAUUUACAGUUGAUUUCUCAGAGGACAAACCAUUCACAGAGACAAACUGAUAUCUUUCCGACAGAUAAGACCUAAACCAGGCCAGAACUUGUCCAUGUAGACCAAUUUGGGUUUCCAAUCUCUCCAAAAGAAUGUGGUGAUCGAUGGUAUCAAAAGCAGCACUAAGAUCUAGGAGCACGAGGACAGACGCAGAGCCUCGGUCUGACGUCAUUAAAAGGUCAUUUACCACCUUCACAAGUGCAGUCUCAGUGCUAUGAUGGGGUCUAAAACCAGACUGAAGCGUUUCGUAUACAUUGUUUGUCUUCAGGAAGGCAGAGAGUUGCUGCGUAACAGCUUUUUCUAAAAAUGUUGAGAGGAAUGGAAGAUUCGAUAUAGGCCGAUAGUUUUUUAUAAUUUCUGGGUCAAGAUUUGGCUUUUUCAAGAGAGGCUUUAUUACUGCCACUUUUAGUGAGUUUGGUACACAUCCGGUGGAUAGAGAGCCUUUUAUUAUGUUCAACAUAGGAGGGCCAAGCACAGAAAGCAGCUCUUUCAGUAGUUUAGUUGGAAUAGGGUCCAGUAUGCAGC